RNAcentral lists this ribosomal RNA (446 nucleotides) under uncultured bacterium. Its description in RNAcentral is "partial 16S ribosomal RNA". It matches the Rfam family "Bacterial small subunit ribosomal RNA", at positions 338 to 795 of the family's 1533-position model. The record is from RNAcentral.
CCUACGGGCGGCAGCAGUCGAGAAUCAUUCACAAUGGGGGAAACCCUGAUGGUGCGACGCCGCGUGGGGGAAUGAAGGUCUUCGGAUUGUAAACCCCUGUCAUGUGGGAGCAAAUUAAAAAGAUAGUACCACAAGAGGAAGAGACGGCUAACUCUGUGCCAGCAGCCGCGGUAAUACAGAGGUCCCAAGCGUUGUUCGGAAUCACUGGGCGUAAGGCGUGCGUAGGCUGUUUCGUAAGUCGUGUGUGAAAGGCGCGGGCUCAACCCGCGGACGGCACAUGAUACUGCGAGACUAGAGUAAUGGAGGGGGAACCGGAAUUCUCGGUGUAGCAGUGAAAUGCGUAGAUAUCGAGAGGAACACUCGUGGCGAAGGCGGGUUCCUGGACAUUAACUGACGCUGAGGCACGAAGGCCAGGGGAGCGAAAGGGAUUAGAUACCCCAGUAGUC